This 76-nucleotide transfer RNA is filed under the name Colwellia sp. RNAcentral describes it as "tRNA-Phe". It matches the Rfam family "tRNA". Rfam says of the family: Transfer RNA (tRNA) molecules are approximately 80 nucleotides in length. Their secondary structure includes four short double-helical elements and three loops (D, anti-codon, and T loops). Lineage: Bacteria; Pseudomonadati; Pseudomonadota; Gammaproteobacteria; Alteromonadales; Colwelliaceae. The record is from RNAcentral.
GCCCCGAUAGCUCAGUUGGUAGAGCAGAGGAUUGAAAAUCCUCAUGUCCCUGGUUCAAUUCCGGGUCGGGGCACCA